CCUACGGGUGGCUGCAGUGAGGAAUAUUGGUCAAUGGGCGCGAGCCUGAACCAGCCAAGUCGCGUGAGGGAUGACGGCCCUACGGGUUGUAAACCUCUUUUGCCGGGGAGCAACGGGCGCCACGUGUGGCGCCACUGAGAGUACCCGGAGAAAAAGCAUCGGCUAACUCCGUGCCAGCAGCCGCGGUAAUACGGAGGAUGCGAGCGUUGUUCGGAAUAACUGGGCGUAAAGGAUGCGUGGGCGGUUAAACAAGUUAUAUGUUAAAUAUAUAGGCUUAACCUGUAGAAAGCAUAUAAAACUGUUUAACUAGAGUGCAGGAGAGGUAAGUGGAAUUCCUAGUGUAGCGGUGAAAUGCGUAGAGAUUAGGAAGAACACCAGUGGCGAAGGCGACUUACUGGACUGUAACUGACGCUGAGGCAUGAGAGCAUGGGGAGCAAACAGGAUUAGAUACCCGAGUAGUC
RNAcentral lists this ribosomal RNA (461 nucleotides) under uncultured bacterium. RNAcentral describes it as "partial 16S ribosomal RNA". It matches the Rfam family "Bacterial small subunit ribosomal RNA", at positions 338 to 795 of the family's 1533-position model. The record is from RNAcentral.